RNAcentral lists this ribosomal RNA (447 nucleotides) under uncultured bacterium. RNAcentral's name for it is "bacterial SSU rRNA". It matches the Rfam family "Bacterial small subunit ribosomal RNA", at positions 355 to 796 of the family's 1533-position model. The record is from RNAcentral.
UCGGGAAUUUUGGGCAAUGGGCGCAAGCCUGACCCAGCAACGCCGCGUGAAGGAUGAAAUCCCUCGGGAUGUAAACUUCGCAAGAAUGGGAAGAAUAAGUGCGGGCUAAUACCCCGCAUGAUGACGGUACCAUUUGUAAGCUCCGGCUAACUCCGUGCCAGCAGCCGCGGUAAUACGGGGGGAGCAAGCGUUGUUCGGAUUUACUGGGCGUAAAGGGCGCGUAGGCGGCCACGACAAGUCAGUUGUGAAAUCUCAGGGCUUAACCCUGAGCGGUCAACUGAUACUGUCGGGCUAGAGUGCAGAAGGGGCAACUGGAAUUCUCGGUGUAGCGGUGAAAUGCGUAGAUAUCGAGAGGAACACCUGCGGCGAAGGCGGGUUGCUGGGCUGACACUGACGCUGAGGCGCGAAAGCCAGGGGAGCGAACGGGAUUAGAUACCCCCGUAGUCC